AACAGGCCACGGCUAACUACGUGCCAGCAGCCGCGGUAAUACGUAGGUGGCGAGCGUUAUCCGGAUUUACUGGGUGUAAAGGGCGUGUAGGCGGUUUCGUAAGUCGGAUGUGAAAUUCCCAAGCUUAACUUGGGCGCUGCAUCCGAAACUGCAGAACUUGAGUACUGGAGAGGAUAGUGGAAUUCCUAGUGUAGCGGUAAAAUGCGUAGAUAUUAGGAGGAACAUCAGUGGCGAAGGCGACUAUCUGGACAGUAACUGACGCUGAGGCGUGAAAGCGUGGGGAGCAAACAGGAUUAGAUACCCUGGUAGUCCACGCCGUAAACGAUGGAUACUAGGUGUAGGGGGUAUCGACCCCCCCUGUGCCGGAGUUAACACA
RNAcentral lists this ribosomal RNA (376 nucleotides) under uncultured Bacillota bacterium. RNAcentral describes it as "bacterial SSU rRNA". It matches the Rfam family "Bacterial small subunit ribosomal RNA", at positions 485 to 859 of the family's 1533-position model. The record is from RNAcentral. Lineage: Bacteria; Bacillati; Bacillota.